This 1261-nucleotide long non-coding RNA is filed under the name Brassica napus (rape). RNAcentral describes it as "long non-coding RNA (BNAP_LNC006273)". The record is from RNAcentral. Lineage: Eukaryota; Viridiplantae; Streptophyta; Magnoliopsida; Brassicales; Brassicaceae.
UAAGUUGAAAUAUAGUGCUAAUAGAUACGGCUUUUUGGUACGUAUUAUCAAAAAUCUGAAAUGUACGAGAGACAAGUUUAGUGGAAACGGGAAAAGAGGUCCAUGGUGGAUUUGGCGGAGAGCUAGGCUGACAAUGCCACGUCUCUCUCCGACGUCCGUAUUCUCGUUUCGCAAACUCUAUUAGGGCUAAUGUCAUCCUCAUUUAGAGCAUUCUCCACUUCUUUUGUGAGAGAAGUCAUUCGGACAAGUUCUGUAGAAUGCGUGCCAAUAAACGUACGUAAUAUUUUAUGAUAUAACAAAAAAAAGUAUAUGUUGAUGUAUGAAGGGUGUGUGGGUUUAGUGGGCUCUCCAAAUGUAAGAGAUUCAUAAGUUCAGUAAGUCUAUGUCAAGAAACGAUCGAGUCUCACUAUCUACGAAAAUUAGUUGGUUGCACAUUUGUCUGUUUAUUAAGCUUUUGUAUUUUGGUUCGCUGUUACUUAUCUUGGCGAAUAAGGAUAGGACUACAUUUCAUUUCAACCCAAAGAUUGUUUAAGAAAAAAAUCCAUACGUGAUAUGAUGUAGUAUUGGAUAAUCAUGGUAUAGUUUUUGUUCUUAUAGAUUAGUGACUAGAAUAGAGCCUCGUGAUCUACUUCUUGAUUCAUCAUUAGUUCGACUCCAAUUUGUUCGACAAGACGUCACUUGAUUAGUAGAAAACUGAAACCAAAACAAAAGGCUUUUUCCUAUAAGGGGCGUGAUGGAACUUAAUACAAGAUUCUUCGACUGAAUUAUAUCUAAUUCUGUCUUUUUUUUUUGUAAUAAUAAUUGGACUUAUUUAUUCAGUGGAUAAUUUAUGGAUUUGGAAAAACUCAUCAAUAAAGAAUAAUUUUUUGGGCUUAAAAAACUGCAGGAGGCCGCGCUUUUCACCUUUACACAAGAAACUAAAUCAUCUAUUUGGUCAAUGGAAAAUAUGUUUCACUAUUCAAUAUAUCAUCAGUCUUUUGGGAUGGACGGUAAACGUCUAACUUCAACGGUUUAAGACCCGACAUCAUGACUUACUUUCUUGACUGAACAUACAGAGUAAACUACUUUACAAAGAAGAUUUCAGUUUUCAAUAUUGUUCACUGUUGACAGGCACAAAACAGGACAUCUGAUUCAUUAGACAAAACUACAUGUAAUUUUCAUCGAGAUUUAUGUUUUGUUAAUUAUUUUAUUCCGGUAUUAAUUCUGAGACCACCUAUUAGAAUAGUCUUUUGAUAUAAAAAAAAUGAAUUAUAACCAUUUC